Molecule: ribosomal RNA, 483 nt
Filed under: uncultured bacterium
Lineage: Bacteria
Description: bacterial SSU rRNA
Rfam family: Bacterial small subunit ribosomal RNA
Source: RNAcentral
AAUCAACGCUGGCGGCGUGCCUCAGACAUGCAAGUCGAACGAUUAAAGCUCUCUUCGGAGAGUGUAUAGAGUGGCGCACGGGUGAGUAACACGUAAGUAAUCUACCUUUGAGUGGGGAAUAACCCGGGGAAACCCGAGCUAAUACCGCAUAAUGCAGCGGCACCGCAAGGUGACAGUUGUUAAAGGAGCAAUCCGCUUAAAGAGGAGCUUGCGGCAGAUUAGCUAGUGGUAAGGUAAUGGCUUACCAAGGCUACGAUCUGUAUCCGGUCUAAGAGGACGGUCGGACACACUGACACUGAAUAACGGGUCAGACUCCUACGGGAGGCAGCAGUCGGGAAUUUUGGGCAAUGGGCGAAAGCCUGACCCAGCAACGCCGCGUGAAGGAUGAAGUAUUUCGGUAUGUAAACUUCGAAAGAAUAGGAAGAAUAAAUGACGGUACUAUUUAUAAGGUCCGGCUAACUACGUGCCAGCAGCCGCCGCGGU